This 524-nucleotide ribosomal RNA is filed under the name uncultured bacterium. RNAcentral's name for it is "bacterial SSU rRNA". It matches the Rfam family "Bacterial small subunit ribosomal RNA", at positions 17 to 518 of the family's 1533-position model. The record is from RNAcentral.
UUCUGGCUCAGAUUGAACGCUGGCGGCGUGCUUAACACAUGCAAGUCGAACGCGAAAGGGACUUCGGUCCUGAGUAAAGUGGCGCACGGGUGAGUAACGCGUGGAUAAUCUGCCCUUAUGAUCGGGAUAACAGUUGGAAACGGCUGCUAAUACCGGAUACGCUACAAAAUGUAACUUUUUUGGAAGGAAAGAUGGCCUCUGCUUGCAUGCUAUCACGUAAGGAUGAGUCCGCGUCCCAUUAGCUUGUUGGCGGGGUAACGGCCCACCAAGGCAACGAUGGGUAGCCGAUUUGAGAGGAUGAUCGGCCACACUGGAACUGAAACACGGUCCAGACUCCUACGGGAGGCAGCAGUGGGGAAUAUUGCGCAAUGGGCGAAAGCCUGACGCAGCGACGCCGCGUGAGGGAAUGAAGGUUUUCGGAUCGUAAACCUCUGUCAGAAGGGAAGAAACUACGUUGUGCUAAUCAGCAGCGUACUGACGGUACCUUCAAAGGAAGCACCGGCUAACUCCGUGCCAGCCGCCGC